GACGAACGCUGGCGGCGUGCCUAAUACAUGCAAGUAGAACGCUGAAGGAGGAGCUUGCUCUUCUGGAUGAGUUGCGAACGGGUGAGUAACGCGUAGGUAACCUGCCUGGUAGCGGGGGAUAACUAUUGGAAACGAUAGCUAAUACCGCAUAAUAGCAGUUGUUGCAUGACAGCUGUUUGAAAGGUGCAAUUGCACCACUACCAGAUGGACCUGCGUUGUAUUAGCUAGUUGGUGGGGUAACGGCCCACCAAGGCGACGAUACAUAGCCGACCUGAGAGGGUGAUCGGCCACACUGGGACUGAGACACGGCCCAGACUCCUACGGGAGGCAGCAGUAGGGAAUCUUCGGCAAUGGACGGAAGUCUGACCGAGCAACGCCGCGUGAGUGAAGAAGGUUUUCGGAUCGUAAAGCUCUGUUGUAAGAGAAGAACGAGUGUGAGAGUGGAAAGUUCACACUG
This 457-nucleotide ribosomal RNA is filed under the name Streptococcus mitis. RNAcentral describes it as "bacterial SSU rRNA". It matches the Rfam family "Bacterial small subunit ribosomal RNA", at positions 28 to 471 of the family's 1533-position model. Lineage: Bacteria; Bacillati; Bacillota; Bacilli; Lactobacillales; Streptococcaceae. The record is from RNAcentral.